Molecule: ribosomal RNA, 548 nt
Filed under: uncultured bacterium
Lineage: Bacteria
Description: bacterial SSU rRNA
Rfam family: Bacterial small subunit ribosomal RNA
Source: RNAcentral
UCCUACGGGAGGCAGCAGUGGGGAAUCUUGGACAAUGGGCGCAAGCCUGAUCCAGCCAUGCCGCGUGAGUGAUGAAGGCCUUAGGGUCGUAAAGCUCUUUCGCCAGGGAUGAUAAUGACAGUAGCAGGUAAAGAAACCCCGGCUAACUCCGUGCCAGCAGCCGCGGUAAUACGGAGGGGGUUAGCGUUGUUCGGAAUUACUGGGCGUAAAGCGCGCGUAGGCGGGCUAUUAAGUCGGGGGUGAAAUCCCGGGGCUCAACCCCGGAACUGCCCUCGAUACUGGUAGCCUUGAGUUCGAGAGAGGUGAGUGGAAUUCCGAGUGUAGAGGUGAAAUUCGUAGAUAUUCGGAGGAACACCAGUGGCGAAGGCGGCUCACUGGCUCGAUACUGACGCUGAGGUGCGAAAGCGUGGGGAGCAAACUGGAUUAGAUACCCUGGUAGUCCACGCCGUAAACGAUGAAUGCCAGUCGUCGGGAGGCAUGCCUUUCGGUGACACACCUAACGGAUUAAGCAUUCCGCCUGGGGAGUACGGUCGCAAGAUUAAAACUCA